This 253-nucleotide ribosomal RNA is filed under the name uncultured bacterium. RNAcentral describes it as "partial 16S ribosomal RNA". It matches the Rfam family "Bacterial small subunit ribosomal RNA", at positions 524 to 776 of the family's 1533-position model. The record is from RNAcentral.
UACGGGGGGGGCAAGCGUUGUUCGGAAUUACUGGGCGUAAAGGGCUAGUAGGUGGCUAACUAAGUCAGACGUGAAAUCCCUCGGCUUAACCGAGGAAUUGCGUCUGAUACUGGAUAGCUUGAGUUUGGGAGAGGGAUGCGGAAUUCCAGGUGUAGCGGUGAAAUGCGUAGAUAUCUGGAGGAACACCGGUGGCGAAGGCGGCAUCCUGGACCAAUACUGACACUGAAUAGCGAAAGCCAGGGGAGCAAACGGG